AUUGAACGCUGGCGGCAUGCCUUACACAUGCAAGUCGAACGGCAGCACGGGUGCUUGCACCUGGUGGCGAGUGGCGAACGGGUGAGUGAUACAUCGGAACGUACCUUAUCGUGGGGGAUAACGUAGCGAAAGCUGUGCUAAUACCGCAUACGCCCUGAGGGGGAAAGCGGGGGAUCGCAAGACCUCGCGCGAUUAGAGCGGCCGAUGCCUGAUUAGCUUGUUGGCGGGGUAAAAGCCAACCAAGGCGACGGUCAGUAGCUGGUCUGAGAGGACGAUCAGCCACACUGGGACUGGGACACGGCCCAGACUCCGACGGGAGGCAGCAGUGGGGAAUUUUGGACAAUGGGGGCAACCCUGAUCCAGCAAUGCCGCGUGAGUGAAGAAGGCCUUCGGGUUGUAAAGCUCUUUUGUCAGGGAAGAAACACCGGCUCUAACACAGUCCGGGAAUGACGGUACCUGAAGAAUAAGCACCGGCUAACUACGUGCCAGCCGCCGCCGUAA
RNAcentral lists this ribosomal RNA (501 nucleotides) under uncultured bacterium. Its description in RNAcentral is "partial 16S ribosomal RNA". It matches the Rfam family "Bacterial small subunit ribosomal RNA", at positions 29 to 523 of the family's 1533-position model. The record is from RNAcentral.